AUUGAACGCUGGCGGCAGGCCUAACACAUGCAAGUCGAACGAGUGGCGGACGGGUGAGUACUGUCUGGGAAACUGCCCGAUGGAGGGGGAUGACUACUGGAAACGGUAGCUAAUACCGCAUACCGUCGGCUGGGCCCAGAUGGGAUUAGCUCGUAGGUGGGGUAACGGCUCACCUAGGCGACGAUCCAUAGCUGGUCUGAGAGGAUGAACAGCCACACUGGAACUGAGACACGGUCCAGACUCCUACGGGAGGCAGCAGUGGGUAAUAUUGCACAAUGGGCGCAAGCCUGAUGCAGCCAUGCCGCGUGUAUGAAGAAGGCCUUCGGGUUGUAAAGUACUUUCAGCGAGGAGGCGUUACUCGCAGAAGAAGCACCGGCUAACGCCGUGCCAGCAGCCGCGGUAAUUC
This 406-nucleotide ribosomal RNA is filed under the name uncultured bacterium. Its description in RNAcentral is "partial 16S ribosomal RNA". It matches the Rfam family "Bacterial small subunit ribosomal RNA", at positions 30 to 526 of the family's 1533-position model. The record is from RNAcentral.